RNAcentral lists this small nuclear RNA (336 nucleotides) under Vulpes vulpes (red fox). RNAcentral's name for it is "7SK RNA (ENSVVUG00000004558.1)". It matches the Rfam family "7SK RNA". Rfam says of the family: 7SK was discovered as an abundant small nuclear RNA in the mid-70s but a possible function has only recently been suggested. Two independent studies have found that 7SK RNA binds the CDK9/cyclin T complex (known as elongation factor P-TEFb). Lineage: Eukaryota; Metazoa; Chordata; Mammalia; Carnivora; Canidae. The record is from RNAcentral.
GGAUGUGAGGGCGAUCUGGCUGCGACAUCUGUCACCCCAUUGAUCGCCAGGGUUGAUUCGGCUGAUCUGGUUGGCUAGGCGGGUGUCCCCUUCCUCCCUCACCGCUCCAUGUGCUCCAUGUGCGUCCCUCCCGAAGCUGCGCGCUCAGUCGAAGAGGACGACCAUCCCCGAUAGAGGAGGACCAUUCUUCGGUCAAGGGUAUACGAGUAGCUGCGCUCCCCUGCUAGAACCUCCAAACAAGCUCUCAAGGUCCAUUUGUAGGAGAACGUAGUGUAGUCAAGCUUCCAAGACUCCAGACACAUCCAAAUGAGGCGCUGCACGUGGCAGUCUGCCUUU